This 447-nucleotide ribosomal RNA is filed under the name uncultured organism. RNAcentral describes it as "partial 16S ribosomal RNA". It matches the Rfam family "Bacterial small subunit ribosomal RNA", at positions 333 to 797 of the family's 1533-position model. The record is from RNAcentral.
ACACUCCUACGGGAGGCAGCAGUGGGGAAUAUUGGACAAUGGGCGCAAGCCUGAUCCAGCCAUGCCGCGUGAGUGAUGAAGGCCCUAGGGUUGUAAAGCUCUUUCACCGGUGAAGAUAAUGACGGUAACCGGAGAAGAAGCCCCGGCUAACUUCGUGCCAGCAGCCGCGGUAAUACGAAGGGGGCUAGCGUUGUUCGGAUUUACUGGGCGUAAAGCGCACGUAGGCAGACUAUUAAGUCAGGGGUGAAAUCCCGGGGCUCAACCCCGGAACUGCCUUUGAUACUGGUAGUCUUGAGUUCGAGAGAGGUGAGUGGAAUUCCGAGUGUAGAGGUGAAAUUCGUAGAUAUUCGGAGGAACACCAGUGGCGAAGGCGGCUCACUGGCUCGAUACUGACGCUGAGGUGCGAAAGCGUGGGGAGCAAACAGGAUUAGAUACCCCAGUAGUCCC